Molecule: ribosomal RNA, 253 nt
Filed under: uncultured bacterium
Lineage: Bacteria
Description: partial 16S ribosomal RNA
Rfam family: Bacterial small subunit ribosomal RNA
Source: RNAcentral
UACGUAGGGUGCGAGCGUUGUCCGGAUUUAUUGGGCGUAAAGAGCUUGUAGGCGGCUCGUCGCGUCGGGUGUGAAAACUUGCGGCUUAACCGCAAGCCUGCACCCGAUACGGGCGGGCUAGAGUUCGGCAGGGGAGACUGGAAUUCCUGGUGUAGCGGUGGAAUGCGCAGAUAUCAGGAGGAACACCGGUGGCGAAGGCGGGUCUCUGGGCCGAUACUGACGCUGAUGCACGAAAGCUAGGGGAGCAAACAGG